RNAcentral lists this unclassified non-coding RNA (404 nucleotides) under Hevea brasiliensis (rubber tree). The record is from RNAcentral. Lineage: Eukaryota; Viridiplantae; Streptophyta; Magnoliopsida; Malpighiales; Euphorbiaceae.
AUAUGGACCUAUGACCUAUCUAGUGUGAUAAUCAUAUAAAGUAUAUUAACAAAAAGGAUAACAAUGGGGUUAUAGUUUUUUCAAGGUAAAAUAGGUCUUCUACUCAAAGCAUAACAAGGUGAUGAAUUAAUGAUUUCCUGUCCAAGCUCAUUUAUCUUGUUGAGCAAAAGUGUUUGUUCAGUCUCGAGCUGUACCAUAAACUCUUCUUGUGUGUCAUGUAGGCUUUCCAUUUCGUGCAACGAUGCUGAAAGUCCUUCCAGAUCAUCGUCUUCAAUUAAAGACUGGAACUUGAUCAUCAUUUGCUUCAUCUGGUUAGAAACUUGGCGUCGUGCUUUGGUUACUGAAGACUCAGAAUCUAAGCUUGAUUUCUUUUCUAGAUCCGGGACUUUACGUGUGACUUGAAU